RNAcentral lists this unclassified non-coding RNA (272 nucleotides) under Peniophora laxitexta. RNAcentral describes it as "partial internal transcribed spacer region". The stretch from base 1 to 46 matches the Rfam family "Eukaryotic small subunit ribosomal RNA", at positions 1786 to 1831 of the family's 1831-position model. Lineage: Eukaryota; Fungi; Basidiomycota; Agaricomycetes; Russulales; Peniophoraceae. The record is from RNAcentral.
AAGUCGUAACAAGGUUUCCGUAGGUGAACCUGCGGAAGGAUCAUUAGCGAAGUUCGGAAUGCCGGUUCGGUGCUGCAGCUGCCCAGCAAUGGGAUGUGCUCGUCCGGGCCGGUGUCCCUUCUCUAUUCCACCCCACUGUGAACCAAGCGUGCGAGCAGAAGAGAGUUCGGAAGCUCGCAUGCACACUUUAACAUACCCCUUAUGAAGUAUCUGAAUGUACCUUGCGUUAACUCGCACAAAUACAACUUUCAACAACGGAUCUCUUGGCUCUC